UCCCUCCCUACACCAACGCUCACUAGCAAUGGUGGUCUCCCCCUCUCCUUCUCCCCGCGCAUCGUGUGGUCUAGAGAUGCCAGUAGCCAAACCUUUUUUUUUUCUAACCGGGCUAGCGACUGUCUGUGGUGUAGCGCACCCCUUAUCUUUUUGCCAGCGGGCUAGAGCGGCCUUAGCUAGGGCCGGCCACUGCGGCCUAGGUCGCGGCGGUGCGGUCUAGGUCGCGGCCGCGCGGGGGAGGGAGGCGGGAUCUCUGGGCGUCGUCGAGUAGAGCCACGACGCGGUCGCAGACGCAGCACGGCGUGGCAGCCUUUUCGGAGGAGGCCGCAGGACGCGGUUCGGAGGAAGCUGAGCCCCCCGCGGUGGCGCUCGGAGGAGGCUGAGCCCCCCGCGGUGGCGCUUGCCGGGAUGGCCCUCGUCGCGGCCGCAGGAAGCUGAGAGGACGAGCUGUUGCGGUAGCGGAUCCUUUGUCUAGAACCCCCCAACUGGACUCGGGAGGUACCACGCGCCGUUCAGGCUGGCCCCCCUGUGCAGCCACCAGCAGCAGCAGAACCUCUGUUUACUCCACAUGUAACACCACUCGGACAGCUGUCGUCCACUGUGCGUCCACUAGACGCAGCUGGGGUGGUGCCCGCGCGACGCGGUGGUCCCCUUCGUCCCCCUCCUGGAGAAACUAAGGCUCCGCCGACGGGACUUUGUGUAGUGGUUGCCCAGCUCUAAGAAUAGGUUCUCAUGGUGUAUACGGUUUCGGCACGACCCGAUACGGCACAAUCCCUCAAUACGAGACGAAGAGCAACGUUGCGUCGAGUCACGCUGCCAGGGUGCCGAUGGACCUCCGCCCACAUAUAUAUGGCACCGCCUCUCAGUUACCCAUUUCUAAGUCGACGUCUUAGGAGUCGGGGUCCCUUCACCUCUCGACUUCUUAUAGUUCCUAAACCGACUAGAACUGUAACUACCGUUCAUGAUGAAAACACUUUGCUCCCUAUAGUGAUCCGGCAAAGGUUCAGCCUACCGAUAAGUCCUUGGUCUACUCCUUAAGCACACCUUACGCACCAACAGUUCCGGAAAGUUCCUGUAACCAAACGGUCCCGUAACACAGUAAGAAAACGUCCCGAAACGUCUCACAGCGUUAAAACCUCGAUGUCCCGUCGUUCCACCCGAUCAACGAGAGUAACGUGCGGCAUCAGCCAAUGUAGGACCUUGGGCGAUAAACCGAGCACCCGACUUACGUACAAGACCGUGGCCGUUACUCCACCUCACGCUCGUUUAACAAACCCGGGGAGUUUUUCCACCCGUUCAUUAUGGAAAAUUGAGCAUAUAGACCGCCGCACCCUGAUAUGGUUAUACCACCCCACGUCUUUAUUUCUUACGACACAGUCAACUCCGACUCUAAAUACAACGACUACUAGGAAUGUUACCCUGGAACGUUAUGAUGGUUGCCGACCCAGCUUCUAUGCCAUUAUUUAGUAGACUUCAGUUACGAUGCUCAUUCUUCUUUGGACCUUACCAAGGGUAACACACACAAUUGAACGAUUCUAUACGACUUCCUUUUGGACUCUGUUAAGAUCAACUUGUAAAGUUUCUUAGAGACUUCAUGGACUUCAGAUGACCGUUCGAACCUUUGUGGACCUAAGUCAACUAUUUAAUACUGACCGUACGGUGACACUUCAAUUUUCCCGUUGUUGUCUGUCAACUCCCGGAGACCUCCGUGGAAUUUCGUGGUUGUUACCGGUAACCGAAGUCACUUCCCUUAAUGAUGUCACAUUUUGUCGUCGAAUUGCUUACGUUCCCUAGUUAAUAGACGUUACCACUACCACCCAAGACAUACCUAUUAUAAGUUUUACCACACCAUGCAAAAUUAACACGUCUAAGGGAACUAGCGUGGUUACGACGAUCGAUAAAACCCCGCGAAGUUCAAAAACAGCUUGUCACAUCAGUUGAACCAUAAAGGGAACUAUAUCUACGAUACAAACCGAAUAGCUGUUCGUCUUUAAGACUCAUAUUGCCAGCCUCACGAGCAAGAAACGGGGGACCGACCCUCCUUGCGAAACUGAGACAUUGUCCAUUUAGUAAAAUAUAGCUAGUAUUAUGUGCAUGAUGGAGUACCCUCGUAGGUACGGUCCUUCGAGGUGUAUUCGCGACCUUCUCUAAACUAUACUGUAAACUCGUCAAGUUCUCGAGUUGUUACGAACGGGGUCACUUGGUGGAACGACUUUAAAAAGAAAACCGACCACUAUAUGUACGGUGCAACAUGUGACCGAGUUUUCGAUACGUGUCGCUCUAAGAUUUGUAUAAGUUCCUCCUCUGACCUUUCAAGUCAUUUAAGAGACGACGAGUCUUACAGUUCUAAUGUGACGUUUCUUCCAAGGUGUUAAUAUACUUACUAUCGAGAGCAGUUUUUGUCAAACUCUACAAAGAACCUAACUCCGAUAUAUUCGUAGAGGGUAGGUAGGGUUAAAAGGGAGAGUUUCAUGAUAGCUCUGGUAGACCUACGUACAACUUUGGUCAAGGAACAUAGUGAGGUUACCGACUACCACCAAGGUCAGAAGAGUCGAAGUUUUUCUUCCUAUAACAAACCCAUACGGUCGUUCCACGUCUGAUACAACUCGAAAAAUAUAUGGAACCUCUUGGAACAGUACAAAGAGUCGAAGAAGAAUGACAAAGGGUACCCCAACUUCUAAGAAGUAUAGGUCGAUGACAUCUACAGUCUCAACCGAGGUCGUAUCUACGGGAAUUCGAACAACAACUCCCGCGAACGUAUGGGGUCACGAGCUUACCCUGUUUAAACAACUAGGGAGAGUGACCUUCUUAAGUAGGUCUCCUGAACCGACAAUGUCCGUUAUCACGAGCUGGCCUGCAAGUUCUCUCGUGAAUAGAAGGCAACAAUAUGCUGAAGCUUCUCGACCUUCCUCUUCACUUGAAAGAUUUAGCCCAACAGCGUAAUAGAAAAGUAGGAAGAGGGUACCGCUCUUGUCGGUAGUGUGAACCACUCUAACUUCAUGAACCACAAAGAGAAGGUACCCACCUAUACAAUUGGUUAUCGUUUCCACAACGAGUUCAAAACCUCGAGGAGGUACUUUUUCGUAUAUGAGGGGCGCUAGAUCGAAACUCCUUAUAACGUCUAAGAAGGAGAGGACCAUUACUACAAGUGCCAUCACUCUCCUCAAUAUGAUCUUCAAGUGGUAGUCAAGUUGGACCACCAAGUCCUUUAAAACACCUAAAAGAGUGCCCACUAUAGCUGCAUGGCUUGGUUAGUUUUUAGUGACCUUUAUGUAGAAAACCAUUACUCCUAGUCUGCUUGAAGAAACUACUACUUAAACUGCAGUUGGGAAAACGGUGGAGUAGUCUUCUCGGACAACGACUUCAGUUAUUGGUACAACUUCCAACACCGUCAUGUGUCAAAAUAGAGCUCAAAAACCUCAGUGAAAGAGUUUUAUUAUUCCCUUUCUCGGAAUUGAAACUUGUUUACUACUUCGAACUUUAUUUUGCAGAAAUAGAACUAGAAAGACGACGGCUUUCCCUGGCCCGUAACAAUAGCUAACCACAUUAAGGACGGUGCCAUCUAGGUUUAGCAAGUCAACUAAUGAGAAUGGACAACUUCAAUAGGUCGGAAUGACUAUUCGAUCGUAACGACCCCGUAAGACAGAAGCUCCUAGCACGAUUACGAAGUUAUCCCGAGCUUUUCCAGUUAUCGGUACGACAUCUGAAAACCUUAUAGUCACUUUUACCACUUAGUACGAGACCACCCCGUACACUUCAGGCACGACAUAGAAGCAAUGUUCGAAGUCGAUGAUCACCUUCAUGUAGUGAUAAGCACCUCACAAGGGUCACGCUUUCCUGUCGAACGUUCCGAACGACACGACCCUUUCCCCGGAAGGAAAACGAACCGUUGUGAAUGUCUCUAGACUUCUAUAUACCACCCUUAGUUCCACCACCGAUAAGUCGGGAGCGUCUAUCAAGACACACGUUUAGUACGACGUUACUCUACUAGUUUGUUCGUGACAUACAGCUAAUACAGUCCCAAGAAGUAUCAUACUCUUCUUUUCCAGCACGCCUCUUUCGUCGUGACUUUCGUCACUUAGUCCAGACGGUUGAACUCGGGUUAUCUUAUAGCCUAAGUCAUGUAUCACAAGUUAGACCAGACUCUGUUAACUUCGUCGAGGAACUACUACUUCUUAGAGAACGUCUUAAAGGUGUACGUUCGAAAAAUGUAUGCCAUCUUUGACGACUACUGAGACGAGGUGACAAAAGUAACAACCGUGGUGAACCAUCACCUCACGUGUUCAGGAUGACCUUUCGAGGUGUUCCGUUGUGUAGACACCUCAAGGGCUAACAAGAACCGCCAUAUAGUCUACAAAGUCCUCAACGUUAUUAACAGUCAAGGACACCAAUGAGUUGUAGACUAACGGGUUAACACCUCUAUACCCGAUCAUUAUUUUAUGUCGCUCUACUGGCGUGUAAGUAUCCUUUCACCCUGCACGUUUCAUACUAUCACAGUAGAGGUGUCGAAAUACCUGGUCUUUUAAGCCCAUCGAACCUACUCCGUGGUUCUGUGAAAUUUGAUGUGAAGGGUUUAGGAUAAGCGACAGCGUAUUAAAGUUAUUUUUACUGUGAAGGGGUUUAACCAAGAUCGAGUUGGUUCAAAUUACUUCUGAAAUCACUAGAAAAUAGUAACCUACUUUCGAGUAAAUAACUAAGGUUCCGUUUGUUAAGUGUAUUGAGUAAAUAGGUACGUUUUUCCUAACAACAAAAGCCAUCGAGAAACGGGUUCCUCUACCCAGGACUGUGUAGACACCGUUAUUACUCCUACUCUUCAAUGCAUCUACCCAGUGGUAGCAAACCGUCUAAAUCCUAAGGCCAACUCCGACUCUCCAACUCUCUGGUGCUAGAACAAGAACUCGUUAUAGAGAACGGAUUAAGCGGACCUUAUCGACCUAAAGCGGAACUAAGGAAACCACAAUAUUCUGGAGCUCAUUGGGUAAGUGGAGACGGUAGUCUCAAUCUAUACUUCCUCACAAGUAACUAUGCAUACCUUCUAUCUGUGAAUUUAGGACGUUAAGAAGUAUAUGUUCAGUGUCAACAAUUCCUCAGACCGUUCGACCAACAUCUCCUUAUGGCAGACGGCCUUCAAUUUCGUUUGUGUGGUGACAUAAAACUAAAAAGCCUAAACGUCGUUCUACGGGCAACACAAUAGAAAUCUAAUGAACCUCUACAGUGACGGAAACAACUACUAUAACGACUCUAACUACCGAAUUCGAACGCCUUAGAAGGAGACCGAAGACCUAACAGAAACAGUUUAUUCCAGUUCGACAUGAUGAUGCGACUAUGGAUACUCUACCCUUUCUAGCCGUCAGAGAGCCGUCAUACUAUAUAUGUUCCAACAUGUACGGUAGUACUUCACUAAGUGCCAACCAUGUAUAACCACAACAUUUGAUCAUAAUAAGGAAACACAGCCACACCAUCCGCUAUUGAUGUCGUCACGUCACGUCACGUCACGUCGUGCUAUAUGGUGUUGGUUUUGGGUGUUCUUGAACUCUUGCAAGACAAACACGCUAUGUUCAACUCCUGGGACCCCUAUAAUUGAUAUCAUAAAGAAAGAAAUGAAAAAAACAAACAUCUUACAGCCAUUUAGCUUCUAGGUAAACGAAAACAUCCUACAAACUUUUAAGUUAGACUAACGGUGUGAAAACUACGACGGUCAAUGUCAAACACCUACGCACAUACUUUAGACACUUCCUAGUUCACGACUUAAAACAUGCUCCAAAAGAAAUGACUGUUUAUAAAACUCGUGACUAAAAAAAUGUCAAUGUUCAAGUGAACAUACAACGUGAAUUAAACUUGUUGUAGACUCCGAUUCUCCACCCGGUUAUAAAGUCACAGUGUAACC
Molecule: ribosomal RNA, 5887 nt
Filed under: Triticum aestivum (bread wheat)
Lineage: Eukaryota; Viridiplantae; Streptophyta; Magnoliopsida; Poales; Poaceae
Description: partial small subunit ribosomal RNA
Source: RNAcentral